This is a non-coding RNA of Paramarasmius palmivorus, 92 nucleotides long. The record is from the annotation of a GenBank genome assembly. Lineage: Eukaryota; Fungi; Basidiomycota; Agaricomycetes; Agaricales; Marasmiaceae.
UCCCUGGUAGUAUAUCGGUUAGUACACGCGCCUGUCACUAACACCUGCUUUGUACACCGCGCGAAAGCUGGGUUCGACUCCCAGCCAGGGAG